This 384-nucleotide ribosomal RNA is filed under the name uncultured bacterium. RNAcentral describes it as "bacterial SSU rRNA". It matches the Rfam family "Bacterial small subunit ribosomal RNA", at positions 131 to 507 of the family's 1533-position model. The record is from RNAcentral.
UGGUAGGUGGGGGACAACGUUACGAAAGGAACGCUAAUACCGCAUACGUCCGUACGGGAGAAAGCAGGGGACCGUUCGGGCCUUGCGUUAUCAGAUGAGCCUAGGUCGGAUUAGCUAGUAGGUGAGGUAAUGGCUCACCUAGGCGACGAUCCGUAACUGGUCUGAGAGGAUGAUCAGUCACACUGGAACUGAGACACGGUCCAGACUCCUACGGGAGGCAGCAGUGGGGAAUAUUGGACAAUGGGCGAAAGCCUGAUCCAGCCAUGCCGCGUGUGUGAAGAAGGUCUUCGGAUUGUAAAGCACUUUAAGUUGGGAGGAAGGGCAGUAAGUUAAUACCUUGCUGUUUUGACGUUACCAACAGAAUAAGCACCGGCUAACUUCGUG